AUCGAACGCUGGCGGCAGGCCUAACACAUGCAAGUCGAACGAGUGGAGGACGGGUGGAUAGUGUAUGGGCAACUGCGUGACGGAGGGGGCUAAGUACUGGAAACGUUAGCAACUACCGCUAACCAUCCUAUGUGCCCAGAGGGGAUUAGCGAGUUGGUGGGGUAACGGCUGACCAAGGCGACGAUCCCUAGCUGGUCUGAGCGGAUGACCGGCCACACUGGAACUGAGACACGGUCCAGACUCCUACGGGAGGCAGCAGUGGGGAAUAUUGCACAAUGGGCGAAAGCCUGAUGGAGCCAUGCCGCGUGUAUGAAGAAGGCUUUCGGGUUGUAAAGCACUUUCAGUGGAGAGGCGGUACCCGAAGAAGAAGCACCGGCUAACUCCGUGCCAGCCGCCGCGGUAAUAC
RNAcentral lists this ribosomal RNA (406 nucleotides) under uncultured bacterium. RNAcentral describes it as "partial 16S ribosomal RNA". It matches the Rfam family "Bacterial small subunit ribosomal RNA", at positions 29 to 526 of the family's 1533-position model. The record is from RNAcentral.